RNAcentral lists this transfer RNA (75 nucleotides) under Gordonia phage Rosalind. Its description in RNAcentral is "tRNA-Asn". It matches the Rfam family "tRNA". Rfam says of the family: Transfer RNA (tRNA) molecules are approximately 80 nucleotides in length. Their secondary structure includes four short double-helical elements and three loops (D, anti-codon, and T loops). RNAcentral also lists the same sequence under 10 other names. The record is from RNAcentral. Lineage: Duplodnaviria; Heunggongvirae; Uroviricota; Caudoviricetes.
UGGCUUGUAGCUCAACGGCAGAGCGCUCGGCUGUUAACCGAGUGGUUGAAGGUUCGAAUCCUUCCAGGCCAGCCA